RNAcentral lists this transfer RNA (75 nucleotides) under Blastocatellia bacterium AA13. Its description in RNAcentral is "tRNA-Val". It matches the Rfam family "tRNA". Rfam says of the family: Transfer RNA (tRNA) molecules are approximately 80 nucleotides in length. Their secondary structure includes four short double-helical elements and three loops (D, anti-codon, and T loops). The record is from RNAcentral. Lineage: Bacteria; Pseudomonadati; Acidobacteriota; Blastocatellia. RNAcentral also lists the same sequence under 1 other name.
GGGCGCUUAGCUCAGUGGUAGAGCACUGUGUUCACACCGCAGGGGUCACUGGUUCGAGCCCAGUAGCGCCCACCA